AGGGUUUGAUUCUGGCUCAGGACGAACGCUGGCGGCGCGCCUAACACAUGCAAGUCGAACGGAGAUUAUUAGGGAGCUUGCUCCUUGGCAAUCUUAGUGGCGGACGGGUGAGUAACGCGUGAGUAACCUGCCCUCAGGAGGGGAAUAACGUCUGGAAACGGACGCUAAUACCGCAUGACAUAGCGGAGGGGCAUCCCUCUGUUAUCAAAGAUUUAUCGCCUGAGGAUGGACUCGCGUCCGAUUAGAUAGUUGGUGGGGUAACGGCUCACCAAGUCGACGAUCGGUAGCCGGACUGAGAGGUUGAACGGCCACAUUGGGACUGAGACACGGCCCAG
Molecule: ribosomal RNA, 335 nt
Filed under: uncultured bacterium
Lineage: Bacteria
Description: bacterial SSU rRNA
Rfam family: Bacterial small subunit ribosomal RNA
Source: RNAcentral